RNAcentral lists this ribosomal RNA (475 nucleotides) under eubacterial soil DNA clone S-6. RNAcentral describes it as "bacterial SSU rRNA". It matches the Rfam family "Bacterial small subunit ribosomal RNA", at positions 30 to 498 of the family's 1533-position model. The record is from RNAcentral.
AUUGAACGCUGGCGGCAGGCCUAACACAUSCAAGUCGAGCGGUAGAGAGAAGCUUGCUUCUCUUGAGAGCGGCGGACGGGUGAGUAAUGCCUAGGAAUCUGCCUKGUAGUGGGGGAUAACGUUCGGAAACGAACGCUAAUACCGCAUACGCCCUACGGGAGAAAGCAGGGGACCUUCGGGCCUUGCGCUAUCAGAUGAGCCUAGGUCGGAUUAGCUAGUUGGUGGGGUAAUGGCUCACCAAGGCGACGAUCCGUAACUGGUCUGAGAGGAUGAUCAGUCACACUGGAACUGAGACACGGUCCAGACUCCUACGGGAGGCAGCAGUGGGGAAUAUUGGACAAUGGGCGAAAGCCUGAUCCAGCCAUGCCGCGUGUGUGAAGAAGGCCUUCGGGUUGUAAAGCACUUUCAGUGGGGAAGAAAAGCUCAGGGUUAAUACCCCUGAGUGUUGACGUUACCUACAGAAGAAGCACCGGCU